Molecule: non-coding RNA, 117 nt
Filed under: uncultured Anaerofilum sp.
Lineage: Bacteria; Bacillati; Bacillota; Clostridia; Eubacteriales; Oscillospiraceae
Description: FMN riboswitch (RFN element)
Rfam family: FMN riboswitch aptamer (RFN element)
About the family: The RFN element is a highly conserved domain that is found frequently in the 5'-untranslated regions of prokaryotic mRNAs that encode for flavin mononucleotide (FMN) biosynthesis and transport proteins. This element is a metabolite-dependent riboswitch that directly binds FMN in the absence of proteins.
Source: RNAcentral
GGUUUCAGGGCGGGGUGCAAUUCCCCACCGGUGGUAUAGCCCACGACCGCGGCUGGUUGGCAGCCGCGCUGAUUUGGUGAAAUUCCAAAGCCGACGGUAUAGUCCGGAUGGAAGAAA